Molecule: long non-coding RNA, 1402 nt
Filed under: Malus domestica (apple)
Lineage: Eukaryota; Viridiplantae; Streptophyta; Magnoliopsida; Rosales; Rosaceae
Description: long non-coding RNA (MDOM_LNC006369)
Source: RNAcentral
AUUAUAUUAUAUAAUUUCCAACAAUCCUUCACAUGAAUGAAAAAUUAGGAAGAAUUUGAGAGUACAGGCGGACAAGAGAUGCAUCGAGAGAUGUGUCUUUUGGACUUGAACCUACCCUAGUGAAUACUUAUCGGAUUUACUUGGUAACGCAGUGGAUAUGGAAUCUUGAACUGUUCACUGUAGUAGUAAACCGAGACAAUAAGCAACAGACAUCACUAAUCCUAAUAUAUUCCAGUUCAUACGGUUGUAUUCAUUUUGGUCCUGAACAAAUCUUGGAUUCAUGAGAGCUUUAAAGAAUUUAGUCAUCUCAUUCUCAUAGAAGCGACCCACUUCUACUCUCACAUAGGUGACCACUGAUUAAGAAUAGUCUGCUCUAUUUCUCUUAUUUAUAAGAUAUCACUGUAAUUAAGUAUAAAUAGACACCCUAAAACUUUUGCAGGCAACACACUUCUUCCAUCAUAGGAAUGAGGCAUAUAGUGUGUUAACUUCUUUAAAUCAUGCCCAACCAGUUUGCCUAUUGAACUUAGACUAUGGGAUCUCCAAUUAACUAAAUUAGGUUUCUGUCCGGCUGAUUCAUUAGUUAUGUUGGCUUUAGCCUCAUUCCCAUCGAUGAUCAACUUACUCUCUAGUCUAACCUUUAAUGAUUAGAUCCACUACUAGGUUGACUAUUUUAAUGGUGUGCACAAUCCAUAUGAUGAAAUUAUAUUUCAUAUGAGAGUAAUUGUUUCUCAAUUUCAAGUCCUCAAAAGUAUAUAUAUGUUGGGACUUUUGUAAGUAAUUUGCUAACACUAGGAAGUAGACUUCCCCCACAUUUAAGGUAUUUGUAGGAAGGUCUCUAACCCUUCAUACCUUAAAGUUAAUCAUUAUAAGAGAUAACUGCUUUUUAUUCUCUCUUUUUUAAUAAACAAAUUACUCUUUACAAUUUGGACAUCGUGUUUAGCCCUUACUCGGCUAAAUUAUCACAAAGUACAUUUCUCUAGCCUUAAGGCUGUAUUCAAUUUCCAUUAUAGAUUAUGCCUUUGCAUAUCCACCUAUAUGUACUUUGACUUUAAAUUAUCAAAUUCAAUUAGCCAACAUCAUUGAAUUCAUAACAUGUCCAUUCAUAUUCUUGCUUAAUAAGCAUCAUCAUGUCUAGUUUAAUUGUGUAUGCUUGCUCAAUAAGCAUCAAUUUCAGUGCCUCAUCAUUCCUUUUACGAAGACCCCCACACUUUCAGUGAAUACUUCGCAAAGGAAUUGGCUUUGGUUUUUGUUAACGUGAGUGAUAUUAAAAAGGGUAUGUAAUUAUAUUGUAAAUAUUAGAAUCCUUUAUUAGGAAGGUUACUUGUGUGUCUUUUAUUGUUUCCUUAUAGAACAAGGAUUGUAUCUUGUAUAUAUUGUCUAUUAUGCAAUACAAUGAAAAUUA